GAUGAACGCUGGCGGCGUGCCUAAUACAUGCAAGUCGAGCGAACAGACGAGGAGCUUGCUCCUUUGACGUUAGCGGCGGACGGGUGAGUAACACGUGGGUAACCUACCUAUAAGACUGGGAUAACUUCGGGAAACCGGAGCUAAUACCGGAUAAUAUUUCGAACCGCAUGGUUCGAUAGUGAAAGAUGGCUCUGCUAUCACUUAUAGAUGGACCUGCGCCGUAUUAGCUAGUUGGUAAGGUAACGGCUUACCAAGGCAACGAUACGUAGCCGACCUGAGAGGGGGAUCGGCCACACUGGAACUGAGACACGGUCCAGACUCCUACGGGAGGCAGCAGUAGGGAAUCUUCCGCAAUGGGCGAAAGCCUGACGGAGCAACGCCGCGUGAGUGAUGAAGGUCUUCGGAUCGGAAAACUCUGUUAUUAGGGAAGAACAAACGUGUAAGUAACUGUGCACGUCUUGACGGUACCUAAUCAGAAAGCCACGGCUAACUACGUG
Molecule: ribosomal RNA, 497 nt
Filed under: uncultured bacterium
Lineage: Bacteria
Description: partial 16S ribosomal RNA
Rfam family: Bacterial small subunit ribosomal RNA
Source: RNAcentral